This 70-nucleotide transfer RNA is filed under the name Dipodomys ordii (Ord's kangaroo rat). It matches the Rfam family "tRNA". Rfam says of the family: Transfer RNA (tRNA) molecules are approximately 80 nucleotides in length. The record is from Rfam by way of RNAcentral. Lineage: Eukaryota; Metazoa; Chordata; Mammalia; Rodentia; Heteromyidae.
GGGAAUAUGGCUCAGUGGUAGAGUACUUGCCUUGCAUGCCUGAGGCCCUGGGUUCAAUUCCCCAGCACCA